This 1097-nucleotide ribosomal RNA is filed under the name Shigella flexneri. Its description in RNAcentral is "partial 23S ribosomal RNA". It matches the Rfam family "Bacterial large subunit ribosomal RNA", at positions 364 to 1468 of the family's 2925-position model. Lineage: Bacteria; Pseudomonadati; Pseudomonadota; Gammaproteobacteria; Enterobacterales; Enterobacteriaceae. The record is from RNAcentral.
GUGACAGCCCCGUACACAAAAAUGCACAUACUGUGAGCUCGAUGAGUAGGGCGGGACACGUGGUAUCCUGUCUGAAUAUGGGGGGACCAUCCUCCAAGGCUAAAUACUCCUGACUGACCGAUAGUGAACCAGUACCGUGAGGGAAAGGCGAAAAGAACCCCGGCGAGGGGAGUGAAAAAGAACCUGAAACCGUGUACGUACAAGCAGUGGGAGCACGCUUAGGCGUGUGACUGCGUACCUUUUGUAUAAUGGGUCAGCGACUUAUAUUCUGUAGCAAGGUUAACCGAAUAGGGGAGCCGAAGGGAAACCGAGUCUUAACUGGGCGUUAAGUUGCAGGGUAUAGACCCGAAACCCGGUGAUCUAGCCAUGGGCAGGUUGAAGGUUGGGUAACACUAACUGGAGGACCGAACCGACUAAUGUUGAAAAAUUAGCGGAUGACUUGUGGCUGGGGGUGAAAGGCCAAUCAAACCGGGAGAUAGCUGGUUCUCCCCGAAAGCUAUUUAGGUAGCGCCUCGUGAAUUCAUCUCCGGGGGUAGAGCACUGUUUCGGCAAGGGGGUCAUCCCGACUUACCAACCCGAUGCAAACUGCGAAUACCGGAGAAUGUUAUCACGGGAGACACACGGCGGGUGCUAACGUCCGUCGUGAAGAGGGAAACAACCCAGACCGCCAGCUAAGGUCCCAAAGUCAUGGUUAAGUGGGAAACGAUGUGGGAAGGCCCAGACAGCCAGGAUGUUGGCUUAGAAGCAGCCAUCAUUUAAAGAAAGCGUAAUAGCUCACUGGUCGAGUCGGCCUGCGCGGAAGAUGUAACGGGGCUAAACCAUGCACCGAAGCUGCGGCAGCGACGCUUAUGCGUUGUUGGGUAGGGGAGCGUUCUGUAAGCCUGUGAAGGUGUACUGUGAGGUAUGCUGGAGGUAUCAGAAGUGCGAAUGCUGACAUAAGUAACGAUAAAGCGGGUGAAAAGCCCGCUCGCCGGAAGACCAAGGGUUCCUGUCCAACGUUAAUCGGGGCAGGGUGAGUCGACCCCUAAGGCGAGGCCGAAAGGCGUAGUCGAUGGGAAACAGGUUAAUAUUCCUGUACUUGGUGUUACUGCGAAGGG